Molecule: long non-coding RNA, 166 nt
Organism: Quercus lobata
Lineage: Eukaryota; Viridiplantae; Streptophyta; Magnoliopsida; Fagales; Fagaceae
Exons: 3
Source: RefSeq, a predicted model, not a curated record
CUGUGCUCUAACAGUUGUGGUUUUUCUUCGCUUUGGACGAGGAAGCUAUGGGGACUGCACUGAAAUGCUUCGUCUUAUUGUAGAUCUUGUGGAGGCAAGCAUCUAUGCCGAUAAUCCAGAAUGGAGCAUUGAUGAGCAGAUAGCAAAGGAUAUACAACUUAUAGAU